Molecule: ribosomal RNA, 1098 nt
Filed under: Triticum aestivum (bread wheat)
Lineage: Eukaryota; Viridiplantae; Streptophyta; Magnoliopsida; Poales; Poaceae
Description: partial small subunit ribosomal RNA
Source: RNAcentral
AUGUUAGGACAUCUUAAUCCGGAUUCUGAAGAAAUGAGUACCUGUAAAAAGGCCAGGGCGGAAUCUACAUCUGUUGUGAGUUCAGACAGACUGAGCAGUCUACCUCCAGAGAUAAAGGGCGACAUCCUAACCCGUCUGAAUGUCGAAGAAGCGGUUAGGACUAGCACCUUAUCAACUACUUGGAGGGAUGCAUGGACUAAUAUGCCAAAAAUAUUUCUGCCCGAUGGAAAUUUUGCAAGAACCAAGUUCGUCACAUUAGUCGAUAUGGUGCUAUCACUCCACAAGGGAACUGUAGAGAAGUUCGAUAUUUCAGGUAGCAAAACUUACCAUAACGAGUUCGGCAGGUGGAUGCUCAUGCUUUCAAGGAGAUCACCAAGAUCAAUUAUAAUGGAGUUGAAAUCAGGGCCUGGUUAUAGGAUUCCCUCAUGUCUAUUUUCCAUCGGCGAUUUAGAGAUUCUGCACCUGCAAAACUGCAUCAUCAGCUUGCCCCAGGUAUUCCAAGGUUUCAAGAGAUUAACUCGCCUCAACCUGAAAAAUUUCUUGUCUACAGACACGGAGAUCCAAAAUCUGGUCUCCUUCUGCCGCAUACUGAGUUUUUUGGAACUAGCUUCUUUUGAGGGCAUCAACCAUCUAACCGUUCAAGCUCCUAAACUGAAACUUCUUUAUGUUGUUGGGGACGUUGAAGACAUUAAUUUGGAUGCCCCUAAUUUGGAGAUGGCUGCUCUCUUUCUUGAUCACAAAGCUAUAGCACAUCAUUCUGAUCCAAUUGUGCUUCACAAGGAAAGCUAUGUCAAGCAGUUACUGGGAAGCCUAAGUGACAUCAAAACCCUUGCAAUUAGCGACUCUUUACUGAGGUAUCUAUCAAAAGGUUGCAUACUUACAAAGCUCCCUGCCGUGUUUGCUCACCUGGAGGAUAUUUAUCUUGCGAUAUGCUUUGGGGACCAGCGGCAAUUCUUGGCCGCUUGUUCAUUGUUUCAGAAUGCCCCUAACUUAAAGAAGCUUGACUUGUGGAGUCAAUCUAAGAGCACAUGGGAUCAGGAUCAGGAUCAGGCGAGCAUUCAGAGCUUACCAUGCAAGUGCAAUUGGAUCAUCUCGUAA